UUGAAAGGGAAACGAUUGAAGUCAGUCGUACCGACGAGAAAUCAGCUUUUCGAAUGUGCAUUUGUGGGCGUAUGAGAUCUUCAUUGUUUGCAAUAUGUAUGUUUCUUUGGUGUACUUUUUCGUAUGGUAGGUCAACGUCGGUUUUGGUCGCCAUAAAAUGAUCGGAGGAAUGUAGCUUCGACCUCGGUUGAAGUGUUAUAGCCUUUGGUAAAUGUGGUGAUUAAGACCGAGGAUUGCAACGAAUACCUUUUAGGCUAUCCGUCUGACCUCUGAAAGUUACUUAGGUGUCGAAAGCUUGCUUACGGUCAUUUAAGUUGACGGUCAAUAGGUUAGAACGUGAUUACAUUCGUUAAGGAUGUUGACGUA
This 366-nucleotide ribosomal RNA is filed under the name uncultured Glomeromycotina. Its description in RNAcentral is "LSU rRNA". Lineage: Eukaryota; Fungi; Glomeromycota. The record is from RNAcentral.